AACGAACGCUGGCGGCAGGCCUAACACAUGCAAGUCGAGCGAGGACUUCGGUUCUAGCGGCGGACGGGUGAGUAACGCGUGGGAAUGUGCCCUUCUCUACGGAAUAGCCCUGGGAAACUGGGAGUAAUACCGUAUACGCCCUAUUGGGGAAAGAUUUAUCGGAGAAGGAUCAGCCCGCGUUGGAUUAGGUAGUUGGUGGGGUAAUGGCCUACCAAGCCGACGAUCCAUAGCUGGUUUGAGAGGAUGAUCAGCCACACUGGGACUGAGACACGGCCCAGAAUCCUACGGGAGGCAGCAGUGGGGAAUCUUAGACAAUGGGGGCAACCCUGAUCUAGCCAUGCCGCGUGAGUGAUGAAGGCCUUAGGGUUGUAAAGCUCUUUCAGCUGGGAAGAUAAUGACGGUACCAGCAGAAGAAGCCCCGGCUAACUACGUG
This 433-nucleotide ribosomal RNA is filed under the name uncultured bacterium. RNAcentral's name for it is "partial 16S ribosomal RNA". It matches the Rfam family "Bacterial small subunit ribosomal RNA", at positions 29 to 507 of the family's 1533-position model. The record is from RNAcentral.